CUCAACUGUAACGGGACAGGCUUCAGUUUCCGGACUGUUUUCAAAGGCAGACCUACGCACAACUCAUUGCAGUAAUCUAAGCGAGAGGUUACCAGAGUAAGUUCAACAGAGAUGGAUUUGUGCUUGAGUAGACUUUUGUCAAAGGCGAACAAGACAGGAUAAAGCAAAUAUUUGGAACUAAUUUGCCCUCCCACUCAAACUGGGCACUCAGUAAUUACAAGUUGGCUCUUCAUACAGCAACUUGCAGGAUAUAUUUAUUUAUAUUUUUUGGAAGUAGCAAUAGGGAAAAAGUAGAUGUGACAUUCUUUGGAAACUUCAGAUGGUCCAGAAUGCUGCAGCAAAGAUGCUUGUGAGCACUAGUCACUGCACGAGUAUUACACCAAUUCUGUGGCAGCUCCAUUGGUUUCCAGUUUGCUUCAGAGUUGGAUUCAGCAUGCUGAUAUUGACCUUUAAAACCCUACAUAGCUUGGCACUAGGAUAUCUGUUGGACCGCAUUCAUCCAUAGGAAUCUGCCAAGGACUUCAGAUCAUCAAACUCAGCCCUUCUCUUGGCCCUGCCAUUGACACAGGUUUGGAUGGGCAAGACCAGGGAUGAGCUCUUUUCAGUUGUGGCUCCCUGCUUUUGGAAUGCCCUCCCAGAGGGGCUUCAUCAGUCUCCCUAUUUGAUUAGUUUGAAAAAGAACUUUAAAACCUUCCUUUUUAAAGAACCUUUGAAAAACUGACCAGAAUAGUGUUUCUAGUUUUAAUCAGUUUUAAUCCAAACUGCUGUUCUUUCUCAUUUAUCUUAGCUAUUUGGUAUUUUAUCUCGCUGUAUUAUUUAGUAUAUCUUAUUGUGUUUUAUGGUUGUAUUGUAUUUUUAAUGUGCUUUAUUGUCUUUUAUUGUUAUAUUGUCAAUACAAUAUAUUGUCAAUGUUUUAUGGUUUAUUGUAAGCCACCGCAAGCAGCAGUAUCUGGCAGGGUGGGAUAUAAAUAUCUUAAACACAUAAAAUAAAUAAAAAAUAAAUAUCAUACAAAUAGAUAGAUUUAUAGAAAGAACCCAGAUCUCGAAUCAAUCCAUAUCAGGUUACUUCUCUGUGGAGGACCAGUAAGUACAAUAUGACAGGCAG
Molecule: long non-coding RNA, 1105 nt
Organism: Hemicordylus capensis (graceful crag lizard)
Lineage: Eukaryota; Metazoa; Chordata; Lepidosauria; Squamata; Cordylidae
Exons: 3
Source: RefSeq, a predicted model, not a curated record